GAUGAAGAACGCAGCGAAAUGUGAUAAGUAAUGUGAAUUGCAGAAUUCAGUGAAUCAUCGAAUCUUUGAACGCACAUUGCGCCCGCCAGUAUUCUGGCGGGCAUGCCUGUUCGAGCGUCAUUUCAACCAUCAAGCCCCAGGCUUGUGUUGGGGACCUGCGGCUGCCGCAGGCCCUGAAAACCAGUGGCGGGCUCGCUAGUCACACCGAGCGUAGUAGCAUACACAUCGCUCAGGGCGUGCUGCGGGUUCCGGCCGUUAAACCCCUUUUUUACCCAAGGUUGACCUCGAAUCAGGUAGGAAGACCCGCUGAACUUAAGCAUAUCAAUAAGCGGAGGA
RNAcentral lists this unclassified non-coding RNA (336 nucleotides) under soil metagenome. RNAcentral's name for it is "partial contains 5.8S ribosomal RNA, internal transcribed spacer 2, and large subunit ribosomal RNA". The stretch from base 1 to 120 matches the Rfam family "5.8S ribosomal RNA", at positions 35 to 154 of the family's 154-position model. The record is from RNAcentral.